GACAGAGGUGCCGAGCGUUAGGCGGAAUCACUGGGCUUAAAGCGUGUGUAGGCGGGUCCGUAAGUACCUUGUGAAAUCCCACGGCUCAACCGUGGAACUGCUUGGUAUACUGCGGGUCUUGAGCCACUUAGGGGCAAGCGGAACAAACGGUGGAGCGGUGAAAUGCGUAGAUAUCGUUUGGAACGCCAAUGGUGAAAACAGCUCGCUGGGGCUGCGCUGACGCUGAGACACGAAAGCCAGGGGAGCGAACGGG
This 253-nucleotide ribosomal RNA is filed under the name uncultured bacterium. RNAcentral describes it as "partial 16S ribosomal RNA". It matches the Rfam family "Bacterial small subunit ribosomal RNA", at positions 524 to 776 of the family's 1533-position model. The record is from RNAcentral.